AUCAUUACAGGAAGCGUCGAAAGACGUCUCUAUACACCACUGNUGAACCUACCAUCGUCGUGCUUCGGCAGGCGGGCAGAUAUGUCUCCUCAUAUCUGCCCUAUGAGCCUCGGUGAGGUGCCUGCCGGAGUGCAAACUCAAAAACUCUUGAAAUCAUUGUGGAGCAUCAGACAACCCAAGAAAAUAAAUUGUAACAACUUUCAACAAUGGAUCUCUUGGCUCUGGCAUCGAUGAAGAACGCAGCGAAAUGCGAUAAGUAAUGCGAAUUGCAGAUCUCAGUGAGUCAUCGAAUCUUUGAACGCACAUUGCGCCCUCUAGUAUCCUGGAGGGCAUGCCUGUUCGAGCGUCACUACAACCCUCAAGCUCUGCUUGGCGUUGGGGCUAUACGGCGAGAAUUUUUCGCCGUAGGCUCUCAAAACUAGUUGGCGGGACCGCUAGGAGGCCCGGGCGAAGUAACCACUACAGCGCCUAGGGAAUCCGAGCCAGGCUCCAGCCACGAACCAGAGGCUGCCCCAUGGGCACCUCACUCCCAACGUGUUGACCUCGGAUCAGGUAGGAAUACCCGCUGAACUUAAGCAUAUCAAUAAGCGGAGGAAAAGAAACCAACAGGGAUUGCCUCAGUAACGGCGAGUGAAGCGGCAACAGCUCAGAUUUGAAAUCUGGCCUUUGGGCCCGAGUUGUAAUCUGUAGAGGAUGCUUUUGGUGAGGUGCCUUCCGAGUUCCCUGGAAUGGGACGCCAUAGAGGGUGAGAGCCCCGUACUGUUGGACACCGAGCCUCUGUAAAGCUCCUUCGACGAGUCGAGUAGUUUGGGAAUGCUGCUCUAAGCGGGAGGUAAAUUCCUUCUAAAGCUAAAUAUUGGCCAGAGACCGAUAGCGCACAAGUAGAGUGAUCGAAAGAUGAAAAGCACCUUGAAAAGAGGGUUAAAUAGCACGUGAAAUUGUUGAAAGGGAAGCGCUUGUGACCAGACACGCGCCGGGGGGAUCAUCCAGCGUUCUCGCUGGUGCACACCUCCCGGCGCGGGCCAGCGUCGGUUCUCUUGGGGGGAUAAAAGCGGCGGGAAUGUGGCUCUUUCGGGAGUGUUAUAGCCCACCGCCCAAUGCCCCCGAGGGGACCGAGGUCCGCG
This 1124-nucleotide ribosomal RNA is filed under the name uncultured fungus. RNAcentral describes it as "eukaryotic LSU rRNA". The stretch from base 539 to 1124 matches the Rfam family "Eukaryotic large subunit ribosomal RNA", at positions 1 to 597 of the family's 3401-position model. Lineage: Eukaryota; Fungi. The record is from RNAcentral.